AAACUUUCAACAACGGAUCUCUUGGUUCUGGCAUCGAUGAAGAACGCAGCGAAAUGCGAUAAGUAAUGUGAAUUGCAGAAUUCAGUGAAUCAUCGGAUCUUUGAACGCACAUUGCGCCCUGUGGUAUUCCGCAGGGCAUGCCUGUUCGAGCGUCAUUU
This 158-nucleotide ribosomal RNA is filed under the name uncultured Phialocephala fortinii. Its description in RNAcentral is "5.8S ribosomal RNA". It matches the Rfam family "5.8S ribosomal RNA". Rfam says of the family: 5.8S ribosomal RNA (5.8S rRNA) is a component of the large subunit of the eukaryotic ribosome. It is transcribed by RNA polymerase I as part of the 45S precursor that also contains 18S and 28S rRNA. Functionally, it is thought that 5.8S rRNA may be involved in ribosome translocation. The record is from RNAcentral. Lineage: Eukaryota; Fungi; Ascomycota; Leotiomycetes; Helotiales.